CAGUAAGGAAUAUUGGUCAAUGGACGCAAGUCUGAACCAGCCAUGCCGCGUGGAGGAUGAAGGUCCUCUGGAUUGUAAACUUCUUUUAUCGGAGAAGAAACCCACGAAUUCUUUUGUGGUUGACGGUACCCGAUGAAUAAGCACCGGCUAACUCCGUGCCAGCAGCCGCGGUAAUACGGAGGGUGCAAGCGUUAUCCGGAUUCACUGGGUUUAAAGGGAGCGUAGGUGGGCUGGUAAGUCAGUGGUGAAAUCUCCGGGCUUAACUCGGAAACUGCCGUUGAUACUAUCAGUCUUGAAUGUUGUGGAGGUAAGCGGAAUAUGUCAUGUAGCGGUGAAAUGCUUAGAUAUGACAUAGAACACCGAUAGCGAAGGCAGCUUGCUACACAAUUAUUGACACUGAGGCUCGAAAGCGUGGGGAUCAAACAGGAUUAGA
This 433-nucleotide ribosomal RNA is filed under the name uncultured bacterium. RNAcentral's name for it is "bacterial SSU rRNA". It matches the Rfam family "Bacterial small subunit ribosomal RNA", at positions 352 to 782 of the family's 1533-position model. The record is from RNAcentral.